RNAcentral lists this ribosomal RNA (468 nucleotides) under uncultured bacterium. RNAcentral's name for it is "partial 16S ribosomal RNA". It matches the Rfam family "Bacterial small subunit ribosomal RNA", at positions 28 to 507 of the family's 1533-position model. The record is from RNAcentral.
GACGAACGCUGGCGGCGUGCUUAACACAUGCAAGUCGAACGGGAAGUCCCUGCUUUGGUGGGGUGCUCGAGGGGCGAACGGGUGAGUAACACGUGAGUAACCUGCCCUUGACUGUGGGAUAACUUCAUGAAACUGGGGCUAAUACCGGAUAGGAGCUCCUGCUGCAUGGUGGGGGUGGGAAAGAUUCGGCGGUUGGUGAUGGACUCGCGGCUUAUCAGCUUGUUGGUGUGGUAGUGUCUGACCAAGGCUUUGACGGGUAGCCGGCCUGAGAGGGUGACCGGCCCCAUUGGGACUGAGCUACGGCCCAGCCUCCUACCGGAGGCAGCAGUGGGGAAUAUUGCACAAUGGGAGGAAGCCUGAUGCAGCCCCGCCGCGUGCGGGAUGACGGCAUUCGCGUUGUAAUCCGCUUUCGCCUGUGACGAAGCGUGAGUGACGGUAAUGGGUAAAGAAGCACCGGCUAACUACGUG